Molecule: ribosomal RNA, 101 nt
Filed under: Taxus floridana
Lineage: Eukaryota; Viridiplantae; Streptophyta; Pinopsida; Cupressales; Taxaceae
Also listed under: 1 other name
Description: 4.5S ribosomal RNA
Source: RNAcentral
UAAGGUCAAGGCGAGACGAGCCUUUUAUCAAAGAUAGGUAUCAAGUGGAAGUGCAGUGAUGUACGCAGCUGAGGCAUCCUAACAGACCGAAAGAUUUUAAC